Non-coding RNA from Lepisosteus oculatus (spotted gar), 509 nucleotides. NCBI's taxonomy places the organism in Eukaryota, Metazoa, Chordata, Actinopteri, Semionotiformes, Lepisosteidae. The record is from RefSeq and is a predicted model, not a curated record.
CCAAGUGUCUCUGCUGCAUCAGCUCAUUGAUGUUCAUUUUAAUUUAAUUUAGACCUUUCUUUUCACCCCAAUGGUUUUCUUCUGGAUUAUUGUGGCAUUCCACAUUUGUAUCAGUGAAACGGGCUCACAAUUCGUAGCUCCCGGUUAUCAACCCACACUGAUGGUGACGCCAAGAGUUGUGAGCUUGUGGGAAGAAGUCCAGAUGAGCUGUGGAACUUGGACUCCUUUCAUAAUGGAGUGCUAUUUUUUAGCAGAUGGUGUCCUACCAUUUGGACCGUUCCCAAACUGUGGAGUUUCUGUGACUGGGGAACAGCUUCUUGGAGGACGAGAAUCUCUGGCUGUAAACACGGUUCUUCUCACAUGUUAUUACUAUUGGACUGGGGUCCCCUCAGCAUAUAGUGACAGUGUGGCCGUGCUAGUAAAAGGAGAUGUACCUCAGCCUACAGUGACCGUGAGACCUGCAGUGGUCACUCUUCAGGACCUGGUCACCCUGACCUGUAACCUGCCUC